Long non-coding RNA from Scophthalmus maximus (turbot), 359 nucleotides. RefSeq lists it as uncharacterized. The transcript is spliced from 2 exons. The record is from RefSeq and is a predicted model, not a curated record. Lineage: Eukaryota; Metazoa; Chordata; Actinopteri; Pleuronectiformes; Scophthalmidae.
CUGGAGGCAAAGACUCUUCAACACAAGUCAAGUCAGCGAGCCGCGGGCUGCUACAUCGGGGGUUUGUCCAAACAUGCGUCAAAUCUAUUCAUGCAUGCAGUGGGCAUACGGAAUCAGCGGAUCACGCUUACCUGAUCUCUGCCAUGAGCCCAACUAGAUGCACUGCCAGCAGAUGGAGCUGUAAGUUGUUUCUAAAGAAAUUUAAAUCAUAAAGCCCAUAGGAGCCCUUGUGUUACUAAUGCAAGAAGCUGUUUAAUGCAAAAAAAAUAUAACAUUCAUAUUGUUCACCUCUGUCCACUGUGCUGCUGUAACAACCAAAUUUCCCCAUUGUGGGACGAAUAAAGGAAUAUAUUAUCUUA